Molecule: ribosomal RNA, 1052 nt
Filed under: Microbacterium sp.
Lineage: Bacteria; Bacillati; Actinomycetota; Actinomycetes; Micrococcales; Microbacteriaceae
Description: bacterial SSU rRNA
Rfam family: Bacterial small subunit ribosomal RNA
Source: RNAcentral
CAUGCAAGUCGAACGGUGAAGCGAGAGCUUGCUCUUGUGGAUCAGUGGCGAACGGGUGAGUAACACGUGAGCAACCUGCCCCUGACUCUGGGAUAAGCGCUGGAAACGGCGUCUAAUACUGGAUAUGUGACGUGGCCGCAUGGUCUGCGUCUGGAAAGAUUUUUUGGUUGGGGAUGGGCUCGCGGCCUAUCAGCUUGUUGGUGAGGUAAUGGCUCACCAAGGCGUCGACGGGUAGCCGGCCUGAGAGGGUGACCGGCCACACUGGGACUGAGACACGGCCCAGACUCCUACGGGAGGCAGCAGUGGGGAAUAUUGCACAAUGGGCGGAAGCCUGAUGCAGCAACGCCGCGUGAGGGAUGACGGCCUUCGGGUUGUAAACCUCUUUUAGCAGGGAAGAAGCGAGAGUGACGGUACCUGCAGAAAAAGCGCCGGCUAACUACGUGCCAGCAGCCGCGGUAAUACGUAGGGCGCAAGCGUUAUCCGGAAUUAUUGGGCGUAAAGAGCUCGUAGGCGGUUUGUCGCGUCUGCUGUGAAAUCCCGAGGCUCAACCUCGGGCCUGCAGUGGGUACGGGCAGACUAGAGUGCGGUAGGGGAGAUUGGAAUUCCUGGUGUAGCGGUGGAAUGCGCAGAUAUCAGGAGGAACACCGAUGGCGAAGGCAGAUCUCUGGGCCGUAACUGACGCUGAGGAGCGAAAGGGUGGGGAGCAAACAGGCUUAGAUACCCUGGUAGUCCACCCCGUAAACGUUGGGAACUAGUUGUGGGGUCCAUUCCACGGAUUCCGUGACGCAGCUACGCAUUAAGUUCCCCGCCUGGGGAGUACGGCCGCAAGGCUAAAACUCAAGGAAUUGACGGGGACCCGCACAAGCGGCGGAGCAUGCGGAUUAAUUCGAUGCAACGCGAGAACCUUACCAAGGCUUGACAUACACCAGAACACCGUAGAAAUACGGGACUCUUUGGACACUGGUGAACAGUGGGUGCAUGGUUGUCGUCAGCUCGUGUCGUGAGAUGUUGGGUUAAGUCCCGCACGAGCGCAACCCUCGUUCUAUGUUGCC